RNAcentral lists this ribosomal RNA (492 nucleotides) under uncultured bacterium. RNAcentral's name for it is "partial 16S ribosomal RNA". It matches the Rfam family "Bacterial small subunit ribosomal RNA", at positions 29 to 507 of the family's 1533-position model. The record is from RNAcentral.
AGUGAACGCUGGCGGUAGGCCUAACACAUGCAAGUCGAACGGCAGCACAGUAAGAGCUUGCUCUUACGGGUGGCGAGUGGCGGACGGGUGAGGAAUACAUCGGAAUCUACUUUUUCGUGGGGGAUAACGUAGGGAAACUUACGCUAAUACCGCAUACGACCUACGGGUGAAAGCAGGGGAUCUUCGGACCUUGCGCGAUUGAAUGAGCCGAUGUCGGAUUAGCUAGUUGGCGGGGUAAAGGCCCACCAAGGCGACGAUCCGUAGCUGGUCUGAGAGGAUGAUCAGCCACACUGGAACUGAGACACGGUCCAGACUCCUACGGGAGGCAGCAGUGGGGAAUAUUGGACAAUGGGCGCAAGCCUGAUCCAGCCAUGCCGCGUGGGUGAAGAAGGCCUUCGGAUUGUAAAGCCCUUUUGUUGGGAAAGAAAAGCAGCAGGUUAAUACCCCGCUGUUCUGACGGUACCCAAAGAAUAAGCACCGGCUAACUUCGUG